Molecule: ribosomal RNA, 417 nt
Filed under: uncultured Actinotignum sp.
Lineage: Bacteria; Bacillati; Actinomycetota; Actinomycetes; Actinomycetales; Actinomycetaceae
Description: bacterial SSU rRNA
Rfam family: Bacterial small subunit ribosomal RNA
Source: RNAcentral
UGGGGGAUAUUGCACAAUGGGCGCAAGCCUGAUGCAGCGACGCCGCGUGAGGGAUGACGGCUUUCGGGUUGUAAACCUCUUUCGCUACCGAACAAGGCUUCAUAUUUGUGGGGUUGAGGGUAGGUGGAUAAGAAGCGCCGGCUAACUACGUGCCAGCAGCCGCGGUAAUACGUAGGGCGCGAGCGUUGUCCGGAAUUAUUGGGCGUAAAGAGCUCGUAGGCGGCUUGUCGCGUCUGCUGUGAAAACGCGGGGCUUAACUCCGCGCGUGCAGUGGGUACGGGCAGUGUAGAGUGUUGUGGGGGUGACUGGAAUUCCUGGUGUGGCGGUGGAAUGCGCAGAUAUCAGGAGGGACACCGAUGGCGAAGGCAGGUCACUGGGCCAUUACUGACGCUGAGGAGCGAAAGCAUGGGGGGCGAA